GUUGAUCUGGCUCAGGACGAACGCUGGCGGCGUGCCUAACACAUGCAAGUCGAGCGAGGAGAUCCUUCGGGAUGAUCCUAGCGGCGGACGGGUGAGUAACACGUGGGCAACCUGCCUCAUAGAGAGGAAUAGCCUUCCGAAAGGGAGAUUAAUACCUCAUAACAUUGCAGUUUCGCAUGGAACAGCAAUUAAAGGAGUAAUCCGCUAUGAGAUGGGCCCGCGGCGCAUUAGCUAGUUGGUGAGGUAACGGCUCACCAAGGCGACGAUGCGUAGCCGACCUGAGAGGGUGAUCGGCCACAUUGGGACUGAGACACGGCCCAGACUCCUACGGGAGGCAGCAGGUGGGGAAUAUUGCACAAUGGGGGAAACCCUGAUGCAGCCAACGCCGCGUGAGUGAUGACGGCCUUCGGGUUGUAAAGCUCUGUCUUCAGGGACGAUAAUGACGGUACCUGAGGAGGAAGCCACGGCUAACUACGUGCCAGCAGCAGC
Molecule: ribosomal RNA, 489 nt
Filed under: uncultured bacterium
Lineage: Bacteria
Description: bacterial SSU rRNA
Rfam family: Bacterial small subunit ribosomal RNA
Source: RNAcentral